This 1427-nucleotide ribosomal RNA is filed under the name gut metagenome. Its description in RNAcentral is "bacterial LSU rRNA". It matches the Rfam family "Bacterial large subunit ribosomal RNA", at positions 852 to 2295 of the family's 2925-position model. The record is from RNAcentral.
GUUCUCCCCGAAAUAGCUUUAGGGCUAGCGUCAGGUGAUGCUACGUGGAGGUAGAGCACUGAAUGUAAGAUGGCCGCAUCUAGCGGUACUGAUUGCAAUCAAACUCCGAAUUCCAUGCAAGUUAACCUGGCAGUCAGUCUGUGGGAGAUAAGUUCCAUGGACAAAAGGGAAACAGCCCAGAUCGUCAAUUAAGGUCCCAAAAUUUAUGCUAAGUGUUAAAGGAUGUAGAAAUGCACAAACAACUAGGAUGUUGGCUCAGAAGCAGCCACCAUUUAAAGAGUGCGUAACAGCUCACUAGUCGAGUGUCUCUGCGCCGAAGAUUUACCGGGGCUAAGCAUAAUACCGAAAUUACGGAUUUAAUGUUUCAUUAAGUGGUAGGGGAGCGUUCCAUUUGCGGAGAAGCCAUAUCGUAAGGAGUGGUGGAGCGGAUGGAAGUGAGUAUGCCGGUGUAAGUAACGAAUGAGGGUGAGAAUCCCUCACACCGAUUGACUAAGGUUUCCAGGGCAAGGGUCGUCCUCCCUGGGUUAGUCAGGACCUAAGGCGAGGCCGAAAGGCGUAGUCGAUGGACAGCAGGUUGAUAUUCCUGCACUCGUAUAUGUGCGAUGUAAUGACAGAGAAGGUUAAGUUGGCCGGUUAAUGGAUUCCGGUCUAAGCGAGGUAGCUGAACUGCAGGCAAAUCCGUAGUUCAUAAGGCGAAGACGUGAUGGGGAGCGAAUGGAGCAAUCCUAGUAGCGAAGCAACUGAUACCAGCUCUCGAGAAAAGUUGCUAGCUUAAGCAUAUACGACCUGUACCGAGAACGGACACACGUGGUCAAGGAGAGUAUCCUAAGGUGAGCGAGAUAACUGUUGUUAAGGAACUCUGCAAAAUUACUUCGUAAGUUAGCAAGAAGAAGUGCUCUAGAAAUAGAGUCGCAGUGAAGAGGCCCAGGUAACUGUUUAACAAAAACACAGCUCUAUGCUAAGUCGCAAGACGAUGUAUAUGGGGUGACGCCUGCCCAGUGCUGGAAGGUUAAAAGGUGAGGUUAGCGCAAGCGAAGCUUUAAAUUGAAGCCCCAGUGAACGGCGGCCGUAACUAUAACGGUCCUAAGGUAGCGAAAUUCCUUGUCAGGUAAGUUCUGACGCGCACGAAUGGUGUAAUAAUCUGGGCGCUGUCUCGACAGCAGACUCGGUGAAAUCUUAAUACCUGUAAAGAUGCAGGUUACCCGCGACUAGACGGAAAGACCCCAUGGAGCUUUACUAUAGCUUAAUAUUGAGUAAUUGUAGUUCAUGUACAGGAUAGGUGGGAGACGAUGAAGUAGUGGCGUCAGCUGCUAUGGAGUCAACCUUGGGAUACCACUCUUGAAUUAUGAUUAUUCUAACUCACGCCCUACACGGGGUGGAGGACAGUGUUAGGUGGGUAGUUUGACUGGGGCGGUCGCCUCCUAAAG